GCCUAGCUUGCUCAGUUGGUAGAGCAUGUGGCUCUUGAUCUCAGGGUUGUGAGUUCAAACCCCACAUUGGGUG
Molecule: transfer RNA, 73 nt
Filed under: Felis catus (domestic cat)
Lineage: Eukaryota; Metazoa; Chordata; Mammalia; Carnivora; Felidae
Also listed under: 2 other names
Rfam family: tRNA
About the family: Transfer RNA (tRNA) molecules are approximately 80 nucleotides in length. Their secondary structure includes four short double-helical elements and three loops (D, anti-codon, and T loops). Further hydrogen bonds mediate the characteristic L-shaped molecular structure. tRNAs have two regions of fundamental functional importance: the anti-codon, which is responsible for specific mRNA codon recognition, and the 3' end, to which the tRNAs corresponding amino acid is attached (by aminoacyl-tRNA synthetases). tRNAs cope with the degeneracy of the genetic code in two manners: having more than one tRNA (with a specific anti-codon) for a particular amino acid; and 'wobble' base-pairing, i.e. permitting non-standard base-pairing at the 3rd anti-codon position.
Source: Rfam by way of RNAcentral